GACGAACGCUGGCGGCGUGGAUUAGGCAUGCAAGUCGGACGGUAGGGCUUUAUCGUAAGAUAGAGUUUGAGAGUGGCGAACGGGUGAGUAACACGUAGGAAUCUACCCUUAAGACGGGGACAACCCAGGGAAACUUGGGCUAAUACCGGAUGAGAGUGCGAGAGAUUGCAUUUAAAAGGAUGGCGAAAGUUGUCGCUUAGGGAUGAGCCUGCGGUCUAUUAGUUAGUUGGUGAGGUAAGAGCUCACCAAGGCGAUGAUAGAUAGGCGGCCUUAACGGGUGGUCGCCCACACUGGGAUUGAGAUACGGCCCAGACUCCUACGGGGGGCAGCAGUGGGGAAUCUUCCGCAAUGGACGAAAGUCUGACGGAGCGACGCCGCGUGAGUGAUGAAGGCCCUUGGGUCGUAAAGCUCUGUCAUCGGGGACGAACGGUCACAUCAGGAAAUGGGUGUGAAUUGACGGUACCCGAGAAGGAAGCCACGGCUAACUACGUGCCAGCAGCCGCGGUAAUCAUA
Molecule: ribosomal RNA, 513 nt
Filed under: uncultured bacterium
Lineage: Bacteria
Description: bacterial SSU rRNA
Rfam family: Bacterial small subunit ribosomal RNA
Source: RNAcentral